AGAGUCGGAUAAAUGGUCGCUCCUUUUAACGCCGAAAGGCUUAAGGAGAGGAAAGUCCGGGCUUCACAGGGCAGGAUGCCGGAUAACGUCCGGUGGAGGCGACUCCAAGGAUAGUGCAACAGAGAUAUACCGCCGUCUCCCUGCGGGACGGUAAGGGUGGAAAGGCGGGGUAAGAGCCCACCGAUUCUCUGGUAACAGGGAAUGCCAUGUAAACCCCAUCCGAAGCAAGACCGAAUCGAAAGCGAUAAUCCGGCCCGGAUUGCUUUCAGGUGGGUCGCUAAAGUCUGCCGGCGACGGCAGAAUCAGACAGAUGACCAUUCACGACAUAACCCGGCUUAUCGUCCGGCUCUGAAC
RNAcentral lists this RNase P RNA (354 nucleotides) under Eubacteriaceae bacterium CHKCI004. Its description in RNAcentral is "Bacterial RNase P class A". It matches the Rfam family "Bacterial RNase P class A". Rfam says of the family: Ribonuclease P (RNase P) is a ubiquitous endoribonuclease, found in archaea, bacteria and eukarya as well as chloroplasts and mitochondria. Its best characterised activity is the generation of mature 5'-ends of tRNAs by cleaving the 5'-leader elements of precursor-tRNAs. Cellular RNase Ps are ribonucleoproteins. Lineage: Bacteria; Bacillati; Bacillota; Clostridia; Eubacteriales; Eubacteriaceae. The record is from Rfam by way of RNAcentral. RNAcentral also lists the same sequence under 2 other names.